UUCGCAAUGCCCGAAAGGGUGAACGAGCGACGCCGCGUGCGGGAUGAAGGGUUUCGGCUUGUAAACCGCUUUUCUUUGGGAAGAAGGUCUGUCUCGUGAAGAUGGGCUCGACGGUACCAGAGGAAUAAGCCUCGGCUAACUCCGUGCCAGCAGCCGCGGUAAGACGGAGGAGGCGAGCGUUGUUCGGAAUUAUUGGGCGUAAAGGGCGCGUAGGCGGAUCGGUAAGUCUGGCGUGAAAUCUCCACCGCUUAACGGGGAGAGGUCGCUGGAAACUACCGAUCUGGAGUUCGGCAGAGGACCAUGGAAUUCCAGGUGUAGCGGUGGAAUGCGUAGAUAUCUGGAAGAACACCGGUGGCGAAGGCGGUGGUCCUGGACGUCUGCUGACGCUGAGACGCGAAAGCUAGGGGAGCAAACGGGAUUAGAUACCCCGGUAGUCCUAGCCGUAAACGAUGGGCACUAAGUAGAGGGGUUUU
Molecule: ribosomal RNA, 473 nt
Filed under: uncultured bacterium
Lineage: Bacteria
Description: bacterial SSU rRNA
Rfam family: Bacterial small subunit ribosomal RNA
Source: RNAcentral